AACCCGUUAAGCAAGCCGCCUGGAAAGUACGGCCGCAAGGCUGAAAUUCAAAGGAAUUGGCGGGGAGGCACACAACCAGUGGAACAUGUGGUUUAAUUCGAGACUAACCGAAGAACCUCACCAGGGUUUGACAUGUAGCUGCACGUCUUAAGAAAUUAAGACUCUCUUGAAGGUGCUACACAGGUGCUGCAUGGCUGUCGUCAGCUCGUUCCGUGAGGAGUGCCCUUAAGUGGGACAACGUGCGCAACCCCUAUUACAUGUUAGAAAUGUCAUGUAAGACUGCCUUGCCAUUUGGCGGGGAGGAAGGAGGGGCAGACGUCAAGUCCGCAUGGUCCUUAUGCCCUGGGCUACACACAUGUUACAAUGAGUACGGCAAUGAGUCUGUCGCGAGCACGUAAGUGUAAGCUAAUCUCUUAAAUGUACUCUCAGUGGGGAUUGAGGUCUGCAACUCGACCUCAUGAACACGGAAUUGGUAGUAAUCGCGGGUCAGCUAUACCGCGGUGAUACGUUCUUGCCUCUUGCACACACCGCCCGUCAAACCAGCAAAGUCGAUUGUAUCCGAACCUCUCUUUU
This 573-nucleotide ribosomal RNA is filed under the name uncultured organism. Its description in RNAcentral is "bacterial SSU rRNA". It matches the Rfam family "Bacterial small subunit ribosomal RNA", at positions 854 to 1435 of the family's 1533-position model. The record is from RNAcentral.